UCUGUAUGGACUGACAUAACAGCAUGAUAACACCAACAUUGGUCUGUAUGACUGACAGCACAGGACACCAACGUUGGUCUGUACCCACUGAUAGAACACCAUAAUAACACCAACAUCAGUGUGUAUGGACUGACAGCACAGAGACCAACAUUGGUCUGUAUGGACUGAUAGCACAGAGAUCAACAUUGCUCUGUAUGGACUGACAUAACAGCAUAACACCAACAUUGGAGUGUAUGGACUGACUGCACAGGGACCCACAUCGGCCUGUAUGGACUGACAGCACAGAGACCAACAUCGGCCUGUAUGGACUGACUGCACAGAGACAGCAACAUCGGUU
RNAcentral lists this long non-coding RNA (337 nucleotides) under Gallus gallus (chicken). The record is from RNAcentral. Lineage: Eukaryota; Metazoa; Chordata; Aves; Galliformes; Phasianidae.